CCUCAUUAACAGUUCAUUAACAGAGGUCGAUUCUCUUGAUUGGACAUGGAAGGUCAAAUUUCUACGCAAGAUAUAUGUACAUAUAUAAGUCUUCCAUCAGCUUGGUUUAAGCUGAUUUUGAAUUUCACGAAUGAAUCGGAAUCUGAUGGAAAGCUUUUGUAUGGAAGUAGUUGAUUACGUAAAAGAUUGCAUCACAAGAAUCAAAUCAUUACAAAAAUAACAUUCAACUUAAUUAGUGGAUCGCGUGAUCCAUAGUUCCCUUUGUCUUCUACUCGUACUGCCACCAGGAAGCAAAAAGUAAAUUAUUACAAAUCAUUGAAAUUGCUUGUGUAAAAUAAACAAAGGAGACAAGGCACACCCUCUACUUAGAGCUGACAAAAUAUGUACAUAGACGAGUGCAUAAAGCGAAUUUUAAGUGAUUUAUUGCACAAAGAAAAUCGAAAUUAAUUAAUCAGCUGAGAGAGCCAAGCCAGCAACAAAAUGCGCACUACUAGUAAUUAAGAUUAGUAAUUAUCAUUGACAAGAUCGAACACGAAGGAAACCCCCCCUUUUAUUAGACACAACGUGCCGGCAUAUAACGCUACGCUGAUAAUGAAGCCUUUCGUAAACAGCAGGCACAUGGGUACAAGUGAAUAGGAACCACAAUGCAAAGAUAGUGUCGUGUCGAUUGUUCUGGUAGGAGAUUAAUGUAUAGGGGUCGGUCUGUUGGCCUACAGAAAGAAACCGAAAGUGGGACGGGACUGAAACUGGGACUGACCCACAGAAAAGCACAAAAUGAGGCGCGAAUCGGAGCCGAAGAGACAGGGGCGGGUAGCUUUAAAGCUGACCAGCGCCACCAGGUAAACGACCGAAACGAAACAGAUAGCUGGACGUUCAAAUCGCGCGAGCUCCGAGGGUGAUCGUGCCAACGAGAUCGGUGGAGAGAGAGAGCGCAGCGCGAACACGACCGUGCUGUCCAGUCAAUAUGCGAAACCGAACUGAGACGCUAAAAAGGUGAUUAAAUUGUAAAUGUUUCGUGCGAUUCCGAUUUUAAAAUAAAAGUAUAAAGUAUAUGAUCGCUGGGACAACAGCUGAGCGCAAGUGCCACGCGACUGAUCGAGUGCCUGGUGCAUGGUCUAUCCGUAAGGUAAGGCAUUGGCCAGUUGCUACUCCAUCAUCUAUAAUAAAACUCACUCACUAAACCCUUGACUGAGACACAAAUAUACAGGUGGGCUCUGUAGACUUACUGUUAUAUAAACUCAAUAAUAAACUCAUUGACAGGGCAAUAACAGUGGCAGCAGACAGUUUACAGUCGCUUAACAGAGGUUUUGUUUGCAGACUGUGGAUUGCCAUACCACUUCAAAACGAAACAUUUUGGCAAACACACUAAUUGAUUAACAGCGCAUUUCCGCAUCGCUGCCAGGCCCCCCAUUGGUGGGACCUGGGGCGGAGGAGGCCGCGGCACUGCUGAGACGACCACUGUUUACAUGCAACAGGUGAUUCUCAUGAUCGUCGUAGUAGGAGCCCCCGCCGCCGUUGGAAUUGUUUGACCCAACUCCCCCC
Molecule: long non-coding RNA, 1542 nt
Organism: Drosophila pseudoobscura
Lineage: Eukaryota; Metazoa; Arthropoda; Insecta; Diptera; Drosophilidae
Exons: 3
Source: RefSeq, a predicted model, not a curated record